AGUGAACGCUGGCGGUAGGCCUAACACAUGCAAGUCGAACGGCAGCACAGUAAGAGCUUGCUCUUACGGGUGGCGAGUGGCGGACGGGUGAGGAAUACAUCGGAAUCUACUUUUUCGUGGGGGAUAACGUAGGGAAACUUACGCUAAUACCGCAUACGACCUACGGGUGAAAGCAGGGGAUCUUCGGACCUUGCGCGAUUGAAUGAGCCGAUGUCGGAUAGCUAGUUGGCGGGGUAAAGGCCCACCAAGGCGACGAUCCGUAGCUGGUCUGAGAGGAUGAUCAGCCACACUGGAACUGAGACACGGUCCAGACUCCUACGGGAGGCAGCAGUAGGGAAUAUUGGACAAUGGGCGCAAGCCUGAUCCAGCCAUACCGCGUGGGUGAAGAAGGCCUUCGGGUUGUAAAGCCCUUUUGUUGGGAAAGAAAAGCAGCAGGUUAAUACCCCGCUGUUCUGACGGUACCCAAAGAAUAAGCACCGGCUAACUUCGUG
RNAcentral lists this ribosomal RNA (491 nucleotides) under uncultured bacterium. Its description in RNAcentral is "partial 16S ribosomal RNA". It matches the Rfam family "Bacterial small subunit ribosomal RNA", at positions 29 to 507 of the family's 1533-position model. The record is from RNAcentral.